CCCUCUCGAUGAUUUGAGCGAGAAGGAGAUGACAACCUUGCUCGACUGGGAGAAGAAGUUCUCCGAUAAGUAUCCCGUCGUUGGCGGCAUUGUCUCGUCCGGAUAGGCAACGCUUCCAGCGCUGGACGAAGAAGAAGAAGAAGAAGCAUCAGUCCAAGUUGCACAGGUAGAAAUACGAGAGCUUUCGUUUCUUACUUUCUUUCUUUGUUGUCUCGUUGUUUGUUUUUUGCCCCCUUGUGUAUAAAGUCUGUGUUCUAAGUAGUACUAAUUGGGAGGACCUGAGAGCUCGGAAGCUAUGUUUCGCAGCGCUAGAACUGCCUGCACCGGCAUUCAAGUGGAAAACGCUGAGUCAAAAGCUACAAAUAAUUAAAACAAUGGAUAAGGCGUGCACCUCUUUUAUUGCGCUCGAAACACCUCCUCACAAAACUGUCCGUGUCGUUCUUCGAAGCCUGGAAUCUGGUUUAGAAAAUGGGCAUGCGAAGUAGCACUGGUGGCAAAAGUGA
RNAcentral lists this long non-coding RNA (503 nucleotides) under Selaginella moellendorffii. Its description in RNAcentral is "long non-coding RNA (SMOE_LNC001030)". Lineage: Eukaryota; Viridiplantae; Streptophyta; Lycopodiopsida; Selaginellales; Selaginellaceae. The record is from RNAcentral.